This 255-nucleotide ribosomal RNA is filed under the name Escherichia coli. Its description in RNAcentral is "partial 23S ribosomal RNA". It matches the Rfam family "Bacterial large subunit ribosomal RNA", at positions 1465 to 1717 of the family's 2925-position model. Lineage: Bacteria; Pseudomonadati; Pseudomonadota; Gammaproteobacteria; Enterobacterales; Enterobacteriaceae. The record is from RNAcentral.
AGGGGGGACGGAGAAGGCUAUGUUGGCCGGGCGACGGUUGUCCCGGUUUAAGCGUGUAGGCUGGUUUUCCAGGCAAAUCCGGAAAAUCAAGGCUGAGGCGUGAUGACGAGGCACUACGGUGCUGAAGUAACAAAUGCCCUGCUUCCAGGAAAAGCCUCUAAGCAUCAGGUAACAUCAAAUCGUACCCCAAACCGACACAGGUGGUCAGGUAGAGAAUACCAAGGCGCUUGAGAGAACUCGGGUGAAGGAACUAGG